AGAAAAUUCAUAGAUGUUUCAAUAUUAUAAAAUGAUUUUAUUUUGAUAUAAUAUCUUACGAAUAUGUAUUGAAUGUUUUUUUUGUUAUUGAAUAUAUUUUUUGGUUUAAAUUGAUUAUUAACACAAUAAGAAUUAAAUUAUUUGAAGUUUUGGUCGUUUUUAUGUCCAUUUUAAUUUAUUCAUAUGCAGUAAAUAUAUAUUUUAAAACAUAAAUUUCAUAUAUAUUGGAAUAUUAUUUUAAUAUUUUUUUAAUUGUGAAAAAAAUUCAAAUAAUUUAAUGAAUAAAUACAACAAGUCUUUGGUUGAAAAUAUUGACAAUUAAAUGUGCCAGUAGAACAUGUAAUUAGAUCAGUUGGACCGUAUUUAUUAUUUCAAAUUAGACUAAACCCAACAUUACAAAAAAAAAGUUUUGUUUUUCCGGAAAGAGUUAACGCAUGUACGAUCAGAACCUAACUAAUUAAUAUCUUCCCGUCUUCUCUAUUGAUGUCGGUUCAGUGAAGAUCUCUCAUCUUCUCUCUUUACUUCCACCGAUUUAACAAUCGAAAACAAAAACCAUGAAGAUGAUUCAAAUCUAAACCUCACACUGUUAAAUUCUAAAGAUUGGUGCUAUUUAUACCAAGUCAGAUUUUAUGUGCGAUUCUCAUAAGAAAUCCAAGUGUAUUCAAUCUCCGCUCGGACAUGCAAUUCAAUAUCAGAAGAUUUGAGGAAUUUCAUCUACGCUUUCCGUAUUGACGUAAUACUCAAUAUGAGCUUGAUUGAAUCAAAUUUGACAGACAAAGGUAUGGCUAUCUUUUUAGUGUAAGAUAUGAUAAUCAUUUUAUUUUUAAAACUCUGAUUUUGUAUUGUGUCUCAAGAAUAUAUAUUACUAAUAAGAAACUAUAAUUACGUAUGAUGAAAAUCAUAUGGAAGGAAUUAAGAUAGUGUAACGACCCGAUUCCGGUCUCGGAGUUUGUUACCCGGCUAAGUCAUAUGCAUUUAUCUGAAGGACAUUUAUUUGCCUAUAAAUACCCACCUCCACAUUGGUUUCUCCUCCUACAACAAGAAAAUAAUAAAAUCAGAAGUUAGAGAGGAAAAGGAGUGAGAGAAAGAGAGAAAGAAAGUUGGGAACAACUGCAUGUUGCCACCAGGAGUCCUCGCCGGAACCACCACACGCCAGGAUGUCAUCAAGCUCGUAAUCACCAUCAACCGCAGCUCAAGGUAACCGGAAACUGCCAUGUUUUGAGUUAAGUUUCGUCCAUUUAGUAAUUCGUUGAUAACGUCUUAACCGUUGCAAAUCUCGUGCAUCCAUGGCCAUCAUCGUGUUCCUCUCGACGAGACAAAGCCGUAGCCGCCGACCGCGCCGCAAUCGGAGCUCGGAUGAGCCCGCACGCGCCUCCGAAAGUUUCGCCUCUGCGCGCGCGUGAGGUACACGAGCCGCCGCCGGAAAUCGUCGCCGCCGCCGGUAAGCUCCGCCUUCGCCUCCGGUAAGCUCCGCCGUCGCCGCCGGUGACCGACACCGGUGACUCGGUCAACUCGUCCGAGUCAACUCAGCGAGUCAACUCUGACUCGGUAAACCGGUGGAUUGACUGGUUUGACCGGUUUAAAUUGAUUUCGAUUCGGUUAGGGUAAACCGGUCGGUUUAGUCAAAUCGAUUUCUGGUCAAAGCUUGACCGGGUUGACUUUUCCGCAAACUUUGACCAGUUCCGUUUUCGAUCGUUCGAAAGGCGUUCUGACUCGAAAUUUCGAUCUGAUUUCAGAUUUGGAGUCCAUUUGAGCAGCUGGAGUUCAUAGAUACCACUUCUUAUUAUUGCUAAGGUGAGGUUCUAUUCCCAAACUUCUCGUACACGGCUUAGGACCUCGAAUAAAUAUAAUUUAUUUCUAAUGUGUUCCGUCUGUGUGAAAUUGAGUCUGUCAUUGCUUGUUUAGUUUUUAGGUUCUUUGCAUACACCGGAACUAGGGUGUUAGAGGAUUCAACAUUGAUUGUUUCACUUAAUGUAAAUUCUUAGGUAAGACUUUUUUUUUGCCGGGUACAGAGACGGACUUCUGUAUGCCGGAUUGUAUGGGGGUUAUGGCCAACUUUAGUCGACCGGUUGAGCUGUAGCCUGGUGUGUGUCGAUAAAUCGUCUACGGGCGGUGUCCGAGCACUAUCUCGAGAUGUGUUAUGUUUUGGCCUGUUAGUGGGCGGCGAGUGUGCACCUCGCUAGGACCAUUGUUUGUUGUUUGGGUACUUUAGGUACUGUGUUUGACAUGCAUUAGAAUUAAAUUAUAUUUAUUCGGAGUGCUAUGUCCGGGUCCAUGGACUUCGGGGUGGCAUCCCAUACCUCACUGGGCGAUUCCUCUGUCGCUCACCCCUCACUCUUCCCCAUUUCAGGUGAGACAAACAAGUAUGUGAUAUUUGGACGGACUUGGUGCUACUGGACUUUUCUUUCGGAUUUUAUUUGGGCAUGGGUGAGAGUUGUUGGGUUUAUGGACUUUUAUAUUACGGGAUAUUGUUGGUGGCCCGUCGUCCUUAGGGUCAGGGAGACGGGUGUCACAUUGUUGUAUGAUGACGCGUCGGGGGUGACACGCUGUCCUCCAUAUAGGAGGUGACGGGUGUCUCAAUUUGGUAUCAGAGUGGGUUCCAUUCCGGUUCUGUCCCGGGAUGACGGUCAGGGGAUUCGGUUUUCAUCGGUUUUCAACGUUCUUUUUGUUUAAAAAAAAUAAAAAAAUAAAAAAAAAUAUUUAUUUAUAUAUUUGGAAAUUCUUUUAGCACCAUUAUGUCCAGUAAUUACUAACUCAAAUGUCUCUUUCUAUGACGAUGAGCAAAAUCAUCGUCAUUCGUCCUUCGACUAUCAGAGUUCUCGCCAGAUGUUCAGCAGUUGGGUGAUGUCCAAGUUUGUCAGUUUUCUCAAGAGUUAUCAGUUCUUCGGUCAUUAUUUUGAGGUUAUCCAGGAGUGGAUAUGUGACGUUUCUGCCACCAGCCCACUUCAAGCAAUCGUUCCACGAGUUUUGUUACUGGAGAUUAUGUGGUGUGUGGUAUGAGCCAUUGGUUGGCAUGUGUUGUUGUGUGUACGAGUAUAUUGACUAUUUUGGAGGUAUAUUUGUUUUGUGAACUCGUGGAGAUCGCUUUUGAAUUGGGUUGCAGCAGCUUGCGUUGUGUGGAUGUUGGAGUUACACUUUGGUAUGUUUACCAAUUUUUGCAGUGUUGAUCGUUUCAGAGAUGUGUCGGUUUGGACAAUUGAUAUAGGACAUUGGGAGCUAUUUAUAUCCAUCGCAGUGUACCAAUUAUGCUUGGAGGACCGAUUUGUUCGGAGACUCGUCAGGGAUGGAGCUACGUUUUUACGAUGUCAUCCUUGGGAUGGAUUGGCUGUCACGGUAUCGAGUAGUGUUGGAUUUCCUGAGGGCAAGAGUUCCUAUUGCUGGAGCAGGUGGAAGUUUUUAUUGCAUGCAUGCUACAUACUGAGGAGUUAUGGGAUACAAGGACAGAGAGAUUUUUGACUACCAUCUCGAUGGUUAAGGCUGAUGGACAACAUGAGCUGCAGGAUCUUCCGGUUAUUGCAGAGUAUGAGGAUAUAUUUGUGACCUUUGGAACGGUCACCACAUGACACAUGAGAAACUCUUGUGAUUUGUUUGGAGCAAACAGCACCAGUUUCACAAGUUUUAUACCGAUUAGCACCAGCAGAGAUGACAAAGCUGAAAGAGCAUGUUGAAGAUUCAUCAGACAAGGGUUUUAUCAGACCGGGUACUUUACCGUGGGGAACAUCAUCAUUGUUGUUGUAAAGAAGAAAGGUGGGAGUUUCAAUUUUGUAUCGACUACAAAGGUCUGAACAAAGUGACCAUUAAAGAUAAGUAUCGCUUCCGCGCGUUGAUGAAUUAUUGGAUUAUUUACAGGAAGUUUAUAGUUCUUGAAGGUUGACUUAGCAUCAGAACACCAUCAGAUUACUAUAUUUGAAGAGUAUCUACUAAAUGUGAAUUUUUGUAUACAUUAUGGAUAUUAUGGGACGCAGUGAUACCAUUUGGCUCGAUAAAUGCACUGUUUCAUUCAUGAAGAUAUGAAUGACGUUUUCGUGAACAUUUGGAUAGGUGUGCGAUUGUAUUCAUCGAUGACAUCCUGAUUUAUUUUGGAGUAGAAAGGAGAUUUGUGAGCAUUUUGCGGAUGGUGUUGGAUAAGCUUGGAGAGCAUCAGCUGUUUGCUAAGUUGAGGAAGUGUAGCUUCUGGCAGAGGAAUGUUGGAUUUUUGGGUAACAUGGUUUUGGAAGCAGAAUUUUGAUAGAUCCAAAGAAGAUUAAUACCGUUUCGGGGAGGUCGAAACCUAAGAGCGCUACAGAGUGUACUACUGGAAGUUCAUCAAGGGUUUCACCGUUAUAGUAAUGUUGAAGACGUGGUCUACAUGUAAAGACAUUGAGUGUGGUUAGAUAGAUUUUUGUUCGUGGAGUUUCACUGAAUUGACGCACAACUAAUGAAGACACCAGUUUUUGUUCUACCGAGGCUGAGGCUUACUCUGAUGUGUCAGAUACUGGCUUGAAUUUAAAAUGAGGUAAGAGGAUUAAGUCAUUCAUAUGCAUCACGCCAGAGAGGCUGUAGUCGUAUUUGCGUUAUAGUUUUGGAGAUCGUAGUUGUACGGGAAGGAAGUCCAGAUUCUAUGGGAUCAUUAGAGUCAGACAUUUAUCUGCACUCCUUAAAAAUUGCAUUUGGGCAAUGCAGUCGGAUUGAGCUGGUAGCAGACUACAGUUUGGAUAUCGCAUACCAUCUCGGAAGGACAACCAGGUGACAGAUGCCUUGGGUAGGAACAUGAGCGACAUAUCGAGAACCAAAAAGAUUUAAGAGCUUAUUGGGAGACUUGCUAGUCUCAGAUUGUGUGCGGUUACUGUCAAAGGAAAGACAUAUGGCCUUGAGGAUUGGAGCAGGCAGUUUUGCUAUGGAGGAUACGCCAUGCGCAGGUUAGCGUUAUGGUUUUGGUUGAAUAGAUCGAGAUUGAGAGUAUUGGAUAUCAUACAGUUUCGAGCAGGGUGUAACUGUACUGAAACCGAGUUUGUGUAUUGGACGAUAAGUUGUUAAGAAACGGGAUCUUAAAGUAAACACAUCACUCGCGUUUCUCUAUCUACCCGGGAAACACCAAGAGGUUCAAAAAUAAUAAAGUGUUUAUAUAAUUGGCCUAGUAUGAAAAAGAUUGUAGCCACAUUGCGUCGCAAGGACAUAUAAGUCAGAUGGUUUUGCAUGAGGAUCAGAUACCUUUCAGGUUAUUGUUGAGCUUGCUUUUGCCGGAGUGGAAAUGCGACAUGGUGAUUAUGGAUGUUGUUACUGGAUUUUAAAUCGCCAUAUGUGGAAAAGAUGCCACAUGGGUAGUCAUGGAUACACUUACCAAGUCAGUCCAUUUCCUAAAGUAAUGUAGAAGGCAGAGAUAGCUGAUCAGUUGGCGAAGAUUUACAUCAGCGUGAUUUUGAGGUUGCAUGGAGCUCUUGUUAGCAUUUUAUCAUAUUGCGAUUCAAAAUUCACGUAUACAUUUUGGAUUCAUUCAGAAGGCGUUUGGGACAAGGAUCCAUAGAAAUACAACUUAUUAUUAGCAUACAAAUGGUCAGUCAUAGAGGACUACUCAGAACUUAAAUGAUAUGUUCAGGGAUUGCGUCUUCCAAUGGGAUGGAAGUUCAGAAAGCAUCUACCUCUAAUAGUGUUUGCCUAUAUCGACAGUUAUCAUUCAAGCAAUGAGAUGGACCGUAUGAGGCUGUUUAUGGUAGGCCUUAUCAUAUACUACCUUGUUGGACCAAAGUGGGGUAGCGACGUGAAUUAGAACCAUCAAUGGUUCAAGAGACGGUAGAUCAAAGUAGAUCAAAUGGACAUGCUUAAAGUUUGGCUUUAGGAAGCCAAUAAUCGCCAGGGGACUAAUGCAGCUAAACGUCAUAAGGAUUUGGAGUUUCAGGUAGGCGAUCGAGCAUACCUGAAAAUAAGGACAUUUCAGGGAGGAUCUAAGAUUUGAAAGCUAAAGAAGCUUACUCAGAGAUAUAUGGGACUAUAUUCUAUUUUGGAGCAGAUUGGAGCAGUUGCUUAUCGUUUGGAUUUAUCAGCAGAGCUGUCAUACUUCCACCGUGACAGUUUUGAGAAAGCUCGUGAGAGAGCUAGAGCUCAUUUUACAGCAGCCGCCAAUCUACCUUGGCAAGGAUUUGUGUGCAUCGUGUCUGCCAGUAAAGAUAUUGGAUCACCAAGUGGAAGUGAAGCAGGGUAUGAUGACCAUGUGGGUCAAAGUUCGUACGGAGAGAGAUGAGAUUCAUGAAGAGGCUUCAGAGACCAAGCAGAUGGAUUAUUCAGAGUUUUGUUGCGUGUUGAUUGGCAGUCAUGGGAUGACUCGAAUUCGGGGACGAAUUCUUUAUUAGUGGGGGAGAAUUGUAACGACCUGAUUCCGGUCUCGGAGUUUGUUACCCGGCUAAGUCAUAUGCAUUUAUCUGAAGGACAUUUAUUUGCCUAUAAAUACCCACCUCCACAUUGGUUUCUCCUCCUACAACAAGAAAAUAAUAAAAUCAGAAGUUAGAGAGAAAAAGGAGUGAGAGAAAGAGAGAAAGAAAGAUGGGAAAAGCUGCAUGUUGCCACCAGGAGUCCUCGCCGGAACCACCACACGCCAGGACGUCAUCAAGCUCGUCAUCACCAUCAACCGCAGCUCAAGGCCAUCAUCGUGUUCCUCUCGACGAGACGAAGCCGUAGCCGCCGACCGCGCCGCAAUCGAAGCCCGGAUGAGCCCGCACGCGCCUCCGGAAGUUUCGCCUCUGCGCGCGCGUGAGGUACACGCGCCGCCGCCGGAAAUCGUCGCCACCGCCUUCGCCGCCGGUAAGCUCCGCCUUCGCCGCCGGUAAGCUCCGCCGUCGCCGCCGGUGACCGCACCGGUGGCUCGGUCAACUCGUCCGAGUCAAUUCAUCGAGUCAACUCUGACUCGGUAAACCGGUGGAUUGACUGGUUUGACCGGUUUAAAUUGAUUUCGGUUCGGUUAGGGUAAACCGGUCGGUUUAGUCAAAUCGAUUUCUGGUCAAAGCUUGACCGGGUUGACUUUUCCGCAAACCUUGACCAGUUCCGUUUUCGAUCGUUCGAAAGGCGUUCUGACUCGAAAUUUCGAUCUGAUUUCAGAUUUUGAGUCCAUUUGAGCAGCUGGAGUUCAUAGAUACCACUUCUUAUUAUUUCUAAGGUGAGUAUCUAUUCCCGAACUUCUCGUACACGGCUUAGGACCUCGAAUAAACAUAAUUUAUUUCUAAUGUGUUCCGUCUGUGUGAAAUCGAGUCUGUCAUUGCUUGUUUAGUUUUUAGGUUCUUUGCAUAAACCGGAACUAGGGUGUUAGAGGAUUCAACAUUGAUUGUUUCACUUAAUGUAAAUUCUAGCUAAGACUUUUUUUUGCCGGGUACAGAGACGGGCUUCUUUAUGCCGGAUUGUAUGGGGGUUACGGUCAACUUUAGUCGACCGGUUGAGCUGUAGCCUGGUGUGUGUCGAUAAAUCGUCUACGGGCGGUGUCCGAGCACUAUCUCGAGCUGUGUUAUGUUUUGGCCUGUUAGUGGGCAGCGAGUGUGCACCUCGCUAGGACCAUUGUUUGUUGUUUGGGUACUUUAGGUACUGUGUUUGACAUGCAUUAGAAUUAAAUUAUAUUUAUUCGGAGUGCUAUGUCCGAGUCCAUGGAUUCGGGGUGGCAUCCCAUACCUCACUGGGCGAUUCCCCUGUCGCUCACCCCUCACUCUUCCCCAUUUCAGGUGAGACAAACAAGUAUGUGAUAUUUGGACGGACUUGGUGCUAUUGGACUUUUCUUUCGGAUUUUAUUUGGGCAUGGGUGAGAGUUGUUGGGUUUAUGGGCUUUUAUAUUACGGGAUAUUGUUGGUGGCCCGUCGUCCUUAAGGUCAGGGAGACGGGUGUCACAUUGUUGUAUGAUGACGCGUCGGGGGUGAUACGCUGUCCUCCAUAUAGGAGGUGACGGGUGUCUCAGAUAGAAACAUUGCGUUAUUUAUAGUCGUUUGUGGCUUUAGCUGGACUUGAUUAUUGUAGUAGACUUGUAUGUGAUUACCUCUUUUAUGUAGUGAUCGUCUUUUAUUUUGCAGAUCAACUGUUUUCUUCUGAUGCACGCUGUGUAAAAAAAAAAAAGUGCUCUUUUAGAGGAAGAGUUGGAAAACGAAUUUGAAGAUGAAAUCGACAGUAUUUUCGCCAUCAUAUACCUGAAACAGAGCACGGAGAAAUAGCUGAAAAGGUUUUGCCUGCAAGGAUGCCCUUUGAGAGUUUCUCCUGCAUAGCUGGUAUUUUGCUUCCAUGAAUGGAGUAAUUUCACACGAACUCCCCGACCGUUCUUAAGAGGUUUGACAUCCUUAAGAAGAGACAGACUUUUUGCAUUACAUUUUUUCUGUGAACUGUGAAUGUGUAGAAGGUAAAAGUCAGAGUAGAUAUAUAUGGAUCUUAGAAUCUAGGUUAAGAGGCUAUAUAUGGCGAGAUUAGAACCAGAAUGGUAUAUCAUAAUAUUCCAUUUUAAACAAAAUCGUAUCAACCCGAAUAUAUUCUCUACUCAACCGCUUGUUAUUGUUAAAACUGAACCGCAUAAUAUGGAUAUAGGUCUUUAAUGAUUAGAUCUUAUAGGUGAUCUGAAAGAUUUGAAACUAAAUAAGAUUCUUGUAAUUGUACAGUUAAAUAAUAAGGUAAACGUGUCGGUUUAGAAAAAAAAAGAAGCAAAAAACGUUGUGUUUAAUGUCAGUGGCAUAAAGUGGUAAUUAUUGAGCAAAACUCUGGGCUAAGUACAAAAUGUACUUCUGUUUUAAUAGUUUAGAUUGUAGAGUUUUGAUUGAGUAUGUCUUUCUAAACCAUAACAACAUAUGGUCAGAAACUCGUAGUCCCAUUUCUAUGACUUCCUAUCAACAAGUUUGGCUACUACCAAACCAACAUCUAUUUAUGCAUUCUCCAAUUCUAUGACUGAAAAGCUAACAUAAAACUUAUAUCCAUGUAAAAGAUAAUCUGUAACAUUAAGUGUGUGUAGAUUUUAAAAACAAACCCCAUCAGAAUGUAGUAAGCUAGAUAAGGCCAUACUUUUAUGCUUCUUAUUUUCACUAUCUAGUGUCAUUUAUAAGUUUUCUCAUGGUUACACAGCCUACACGUCAAGCUUCUCGUUAGUCUUUCAAUAUCCAACCUCUCAGCUUUCAUUUUUCCCCUCCUCCCUUUUUCCCUUAUGUUCGUCAAUGCUUUUUAGAGUUUUUGUAUUAUAGUCAUGUGAAUCAUUCUUCAUAAUAAUCAAUCAUCGAUUUGUAGAAUGCUGAAGCUUGCAUUCCCACUAUCAUUCAUGCAAGAACAUAGAUAUUUCACAGACAUAAGCUUUGAAAAAGCACUAUAAAUUGAUAAUUAAUCUAGCAUAAAAUUAGGAGAAAUACUUGCAACCAUUUUGAGGUGAAGCCACAAUAUUUUUUCAUGACUGCAUAUUCAAUUUGAUCAAAACUUACAUUUUGAGCAUUCUUCCCGAGCAAUCAAAUCUUUUGAGAUAGCUUUUGUUAGUGGUUAAGGCUAAUAGAGUGUGUAAAUAAAUUCAGUACUCCUUUGACCCCAAAUCGACAAUUACAAAAUUUUAAUCCGAUGCAAUUCUUUCAUAUUACAAUGUGUAUUUUCCCCCAUAUAUAUGUCUUUUUCAACUCUAUAUUUGUCAUCCUUAUUAAUGAUAGCAAGUUGUUAGCUGAUAUGCUCAAAUUACCCUAGAAAAACUCUCUCAAAUAAAUGAUCAAUUUCAGUACUUAAGGAUCAAAUCCACAGAGUUUCUAUCUUUCACACACUAGACUUGAGUUUCAGAUUAAGCUAAGUAAAAAAUGUAAAGCAGUAAAUCAAAGCAAUAAUUAGAUAGAGGAGUUGUAAAACAUAUGGGAAAGGGUCCUAGACUUAAGGUUUCAUUCAGGUUAUUAGAACUCAAAUCUAUAGAUACUAAGGGUUUUAUCCUAGAACUCGAAUUCAAUAAGUAAGAUAUUCAGCUUUUGCUGUGAGUCUAAUCAGAUGUCUAAAUCCUAGAAUUGAAUGUGAAUUCUGGAAGAGUGUUGAUCGAUACUACAGAGUGUCGAUCGAUACCUCUUAUAGACAAGUUUUAAUAUGUAGAUCGAUUUGUUCACUACAUUAAUUAAACCAGCUCUCGCAUGCACCUAACAACCUAGCUCAGUAAGAUUCAGUUCAUGCAAUUGACCAGCUCUCGCAUGCGCCUAACUAUCCUAUGAUCAAGUUUCUCGUUAAUUGCUCUAGAAAAAAAACAAUUAGAAAUCCUGUGAAGGAUACAAUAAAUCACCCUAGCAAUUUAUAUUCAGAAGUUUAUUUAAAACCCUAGAAAAUCCCUAAACCUAACAAUGGAUCUACCAAUACAUGAUAGAUGAAACAUAAAUGAUAGAUGGAUAAAUAUAAUAUAAAUCAAUAGAAAACCAAAGGAGUUUCAAGAGGAAUAUAAAAGAGUUCAUCUCUUCUCUCCUAACCUAAAACCUAAGAAUAAUAUAAAGCUUAGCCGUCUGGCAUAGAAAACAUAUAUAGGGUUAUGUCACGUCCUAGGGUCUUCUGUAAAUAAGGAAAACUUUGAGGCAAAGUUGCUUUUUUUGAAACUUCAUUAAAAUACGUCAGUUUGAUGAUUUGGAGGAGUGUCGAUCGCAACCAGUGUGGCUUUGGUCGACACUUGUUAAUUCUCGACAGCUUCCUCUCGUGAGUCAGACGGACCACUUUUCAGUAAAACAAUCAUAAUGUUUUCUCUAAGAUCCUGAUUAACCUCAGACCAGUGGCAUUAGAAAUUGAACUCUAGGUUCUAUCUUGUGUCAAAAUAUGAGCUCAAUUUAACCGUUGGAAGGCUUCCAUCCAUAGCUAAACUUCGGACGCAUCUACACAACUCUGCAUCUCAAAACGCUUCAAAAUCUCCAAAGUUCUCUAAAACGUACAUGAACCUAAAAAAAACUUUAAAACAGACUUCAAACACAUAUAAUAUAGACUCUAAAAGGACUUGUACCAUGUUCUAAAAGUGGUAAAAAACCCAUUGUAUAUAAACUUCCACAGACUUCUCAAGCAAAUCACAGAAUAGUCAUGUGAGGUUUGAAAACGCAGACUUUCGUUUUUGUAUUGUUUUUCUUUAAAAGCUUCGUCUUUUGGUAAUUGCUAGAAGACUUUCGUUUCGUAUUGUUCUAUGGUGUUUUCGGCGAAUGCUAAUUUUGCCUUUUCGUUUCGACUGAGUUUGUGUUUCUGUCGCAAGCAAAGUAAAUUUGUUACUCUUUCUAAUUACCCCAUGUUGUUUCAAUUCCCGAAGACAUUGGGGAUUUCAAGCAUAGGUGCUAUGUCGAUUGAACGAAUCUCUUGGAGUUUUUACACAGAGUUUCUAUGCUUACGUUUUAUGAGUCAAUGGUUACAAAGUUGCACCCUAUACAAAUGUUUUCUUGGCAAAAAAGAGAAGAAAGAAAAACAAGAAAAUCAUUUGAGAUAAAGAGCACAUGGGUAUUUAAGUUGACUUCAGAUCGGUCAUAUAGCCAUACGAUUUGGAUCCAUCUUCUACUCCUCACACUACAAGAAUUGAUCAAAUUAGCUAAGGACGAGUGACAACAUUU
This is a long non-coding RNA of Brassica napus (rape), 11507 nucleotides long. RefSeq lists it as uncharacterized. The transcript has 4 exons. The record is from RefSeq and is a predicted model, not a curated record. NCBI's taxonomy places the organism in Eukaryota, Viridiplantae, Streptophyta, Magnoliopsida, Brassicales, Brassicaceae.